RNAcentral lists this non-coding RNA (28 nucleotides) under Rattus norvegicus (Norway rat). The record is from RNAcentral. Lineage: Eukaryota; Metazoa; Chordata; Mammalia; Rodentia; Muridae.
AGCGCACACAUCUGCUUUCUUGCCAUCC